This 29-nucleotide non-coding RNA is filed under the name Rattus norvegicus (Norway rat). Lineage: Eukaryota; Metazoa; Chordata; Mammalia; Rodentia; Muridae. The record is from RNAcentral.
UCAUUAGCAUGGUGCUGCUCCCUCAUUAG